RNAcentral lists this ribosomal RNA (274 nucleotides) under uncultured bacterium. RNAcentral describes it as "partial 16S ribosomal RNA". It matches the Rfam family "Bacterial small subunit ribosomal RNA", at positions 523 to 796 of the family's 1533-position model. The record is from RNAcentral.
AUACGGAGGUUCCAAGCGUUAUCCGGAAUCAUUGGGUUUAAAGGGUCCGCAGGCGGUCAAUUAAGUCAGAGGUGAAAGCCCAUCGCUCAACGAUGGAACUGCCUUUGAUACUGGUUGACUUCAGUUAUACGGAAGUAGAUAGAAUAAGUAGUGUAGCGGUGAAAUGCAUAGAUAUUACUUAGAAUACCGAUUGCGAAGGCAGUCUACUACGUAUAUACUGACGCUGAGGGACGAAAGCGUGGGGAGCGAACAGGAUUAGAAACCCUAGUAGUCC